GGGAGGUAGGGGUACAAUGUAAUAUUUGUUUAAACAAAUUGUUGGUUUCCUUUGAAAUAUAUAGCAAGGACUGGGCGUUGUUUUAAAUACUAAGAAACGUCUUAAACAAGUUCUUAACUAAAUGUCCUAAGACAUAUCUUAAGACAUAUCCUAGGAUACUUUCAAUGACACGGCCCUCGGUACUAUAUCCUUCUUUCAAUCGACAGUUUAUAUAUAUCAAGAUGCCAGAAAUCUGCAACAUAUAAUAUUAUACAAUUUGGCUAAUUUAUUAAAUUUCGUCCGUAUUUUUCUUCUUCAAGAUCAUUUUUUUUUUUUUUUGAAUUUUACAUACUUUAUUGAAAAAUUCACAUUUGUUCGUUUGAUACAGUACCG
RNAcentral lists this long non-coding RNA (372 nucleotides) under Mytilus galloprovincialis (Mediterranean mussel). Lineage: Eukaryota; Metazoa; Mollusca; Bivalvia; Mytilida; Mytilidae. The record is from RNAcentral.